This is an RNA transcript of Gossypium raimondii (Peruvian cotton), 1402 nucleotides long. It is a transcript of the gene named protein ARABIDILLO 1, with no coding region annotated. Lineage: Eukaryota; Viridiplantae; Streptophyta; Magnoliopsida; Malvales; Malvaceae. The record is from RefSeq and is a predicted model, not a curated record. The transcript has 2 exons.
UAGCUUCUUCCAUGUCUUUAUUAAUUCUUGGUUUUGUUGAUUUCAUUUUUAAAUUAUUGGUGUUUUUCGAGAUCUGGGUUAAAUUAGUUAUGGUUUUUUUUUUCUGUUUAGAUCUUGAAUUAAUUUGAAAUUUGAUUUGGUAUUUUGGCGGCUUGAAUUUCAAUUCAAAAUAUCUGUUUUCUUAAUGUAAAUUUUGUGAUACUUGCACUUGGAUCUGCAAUUGUUUUUCCCCCUGCUAAAUUAUGAAUCCAUCUAUUACAAAUCUGUUUUGCAUUGUUCAUCAAAUAACAUGCACAAGUAAUAUUAUUUGUAUAUAUUUUGAGGAAAAUUAUAAUAUUAUUAUAUAUAAUCAAUGCAAAAUUUUUAAGGCACCUUAUUAAAUACGAAAUUUAUAGGCACGAAACUAAGAAUGAUUGAAGCUUCUGCAAACUUUUUUGUUGUCAACAUGGCGACUUUAGCUUUCUCAGCAUCAAUAAUUACUGAACUGUUAACCUUAAUCUCCUCAAAAUCACAUUCCUUAGCAAGCUUCAUAACUAGCUUAACGACACACUAAUCUCUUAAAAGCAAAGAAUUUAAUUGAAGUUCAUAUUUUUGCAAGUUAAAUUUAGUAGAGUCUGUCGUCAUUCAUUGUGUGGUUAUUUGUGCUUUUCGGCCACUUUAUGUAAUGAACAUUAUAGGACACCUUUAUCCAAUACUGGUUUUUCCUGUCUUUAACUGCUGUUUUUACAUUUUAAACGCCAAAGGGUAAUGACUAAUGACCCUAUAUAUAUGUAUGUAUAACAUAUAUUGAGCUCCUCCUCAGUUUCACAGAAUUUUCCUUUUCACCAAUUUCUGCUAUCUCAAAGUGGUCCAAAACUUGUAGGAUAUGAGUGAAAGAGUGAGGCAAAAAUGUUCACAUAGUGAGGAAAAAUAUCAGACAAACAUUAGUUUGGAGACACUCGAUAGUGGAUGUUUGAAUUCAGCUACAGUUUGUGGAGUUGAUUGGACAACCUUGCCUGAUGAUACAGUUAUUCAACUCUUCUCUUAUUUGAAUUAUCGAGAUCGAGCUAGUUUGGCAUCAACUUGUCGAACAUUUAGGCUCUUAGGUUCUUUGCCAUGUUUAUGGGGGUCACUGGACCUCCGAUCUUACAAAUUUGAUACUGUAGCUGCAGCCUCACUCUCCUUGCGAUGCAAGAAUCUCCAGAGACUUAAAUUUCCUGCAGCAGUCUCAGCAGAUGCAAUAGUUAGUCUUCAAGAAAGGGAACUUCGAGAAAUAAGUGGUGAUUUUUGUCGUGACAUUACCGAUGCUGCACUUUCUGUGUUUGUCAUAAGUUCUUUAAGCACACCUUUAUCCAAUACUGGUUCUGCUGUAAUGAACUGGAUUUUGAGAGUUAGUUGCCUAUUAUUUCCCAUAUACUUUUAA